This 532-nucleotide long non-coding RNA is filed under the name Nicotiana benthamiana. Its description in RNAcentral is "long non-coding RNA (NBEN_LNC041363)". Lineage: Eukaryota; Viridiplantae; Streptophyta; Magnoliopsida; Solanales; Solanaceae. The record is from RNAcentral.
CUGGGCUCAUGUGUUGGGCCACUGACACUUAUGAGCCUAAUGGGUCAUAUCUGAGCCCGGGUCAUUUGACCCAAUACCCGACCCGGUCCGUUUCAUUUUGUUAUUUGUAAAUAUAUGUGUGGUGUAGGUGAGAAGCUUCAAGACUCAGAUAUUUUUCAUUUCCCAACAACCGACUCCUCGGUUCUCUCAAUCUCUCCUCCUUCUCUCUACUUUCUCUCUCUAGUUUCUCUGUGAUUUUAUCGAUUAAUCUGAAUAUUGACAUGGUAUCAGAGCCUUACAACGAUCCGAUCAUGUUUAUUUGCAUAUCGGUGUCACUUUUGAGUAUUUGUUUGACGAUUUUUGAGGAUUUUUCUGAGAUCGAAUGGUCAGUGAUGAUUUCGUUUUUGAUCGGACAUGGUUCAAAGUGUUCUACACCAUAAUAUACGGGUGAAUCUUCUUAACCUCAACGUUUUAACAACGUUUUGAUCGAUUUGGGUGAUUUCUGGUGAGUUAUCGGUAUCUAGGGUUUUUGGUGGUUUUGACUUGCUGGUUU